Molecule: small RNA, 640 nt
Filed under: chicken gut metagenome
Source: RNAcentral
AACGACGGCGCAGUAUCCUAGUCAGAUCUGCCGCUUCUGAAGAAGGGCCUAAAAAUCCUUUUAAGGGCACAACUGUGAAACUCUUGGUGCUUGCUUCUUACGCCCAGUUUGGGGUGGGUGCUGAGAGGAAGUACGGACCCCCGUGCUUGCGGAUCCAGGGCGUUCUCCAAUGGCAUGGAGAAGCCGACCCUGUUUUCGUGGAGACCUGUUUCCGUGCGCAGGCGUACUCCCAUCAGUGGUACUUUCGACCUGUGUACGACUCAGGCUGGAACCUGUAUUGCGGUGCUACCCGGCCAUAGAGCCGUGAACGCUGUGUGCAGAGUAGCCUGCCUUGCGUGGGUAUGGCGGAUAGGAGAUCACCCGGACCUUUCCCCGGCCAGGGAAAGGCUGUGGAUCGCUCCUUGAAACCAUGGCUGCAAAAGAGGCUAGGAAGCGGUUUGACUGUAGUGGAAAACACCUAGGCUGUCCCUGUCGGGCAAGGGAAGGAUUGCAGUGCGGACUAAGUGGCAGUCGGGUACCGCGGUGGGCAACGCCGCGGCGGAGCGCUGAAAGGGAAACCACCUGAUCGGCAACGAGAGGCGCGUUCCGGGGAAAUCCAACCCGUACCUAAGCCGUAAGAUUUACUUUUCUUGCUGCCGGC